AUUUCCGGUUGAUCCUGCCGGACCUGACUGCUAUCGGAUUGAUACUAAGCCAUGCUAGUCUUUGUAGUAAUACAAGGCAUACGGCUCAGUAACGCGUAGUCAACCUACCCUAUGGACGGGGAUAAUCUCGGGAAACUGAGCAUAAUACCCGGCAGACCACUUAUCCUGGAAUGGUUAGUGGUUAAAAUGAUUCGUCGCCAUAGGAUGGGACUGCGGCCUAUCAGCUUGUUGGUGAGGUAAUGGCCCACCAAGGCGAUUACAGGUACGGGCUCUGAGAGGAGAAGCCCGGAGAUGGGUACUGAGACAAGGACCCAGGCCCUAUGGGGCGCAGCAGGCGAGAAAACUUUGCAAUGUGCGAAAGCACGACAAGGUUAAUCCGAGUGAUUUCUGCUAAAGGAAUCUUUUGUUAGUUCUAAAAAUACUAGUGAAUAAGGGGUGGGCAAGUUCUGGCGUCAGCCGCCGCGGUAAAACCAGCACCUCAAGUGGUCAGGAGGAUUAUUGGGCCUAAAGCAUCCGUAGCCGGCUCUGUAAGUUUUCGGUUAAAUCCAUGUGCUCAACGCAUGGGCUGCCGAAAAUACUGCAUAGCUAGGGAGUGGGAGAGGUAGACGGUACUCGGUAGGAAGGGGUAAAAUCCUUUGAUCUAUCGAUGACCACCUGUGGCGAAGGCGGUCUACCAGAACACGUUCGACGGUGAGGGAUGAAAGCUGGGGGAGCAAACCGGAUUAGAUACCCGGGUAGUCCCAGCUGUAAACGAUGCAGACUCGAUGA
This 768-nucleotide ribosomal RNA is filed under the name uncultured Nitrososphaerota archaeon. RNAcentral describes it as "bacterial SSU rRNA". It matches the Rfam family "Archaeal small subunit ribosomal RNA", at positions 1 to 774 of the family's 1478-position model. The record is from RNAcentral. Lineage: Archaea; Thermoproteati; Nitrososphaerota.